This 736-nucleotide ribosomal RNA is filed under the name Alnicola subconspersa. Its description in RNAcentral is "eukaryotic LSU rRNA". The stretch from base 221 to 374 matches the Rfam family "5.8S ribosomal RNA". The record is from RNAcentral. Lineage: Eukaryota; Fungi; Basidiomycota; Agaricomycetes; Agaricales; Hymenogastraceae.
GUUGCUGGCCCUUUCGGGGGCAUGUGCACACCCACCAUCCUCAUCUCUCCACCUGUGCACCUCUUGUAGACCUGAAUUGACUUUCCGAGGCAACUCGGUCGGGAAGAUUGCUGUGCUCUGUGAGCCAGCUUUCUUUGCAUGUCUAGGCCUAUGUUUUUCAUAUACCCCUAUAGAAUGUAACAGAAUGUAUCAUUGGGCCUUGUGCCUAUAAACCUUAUACAACUUUCAGCAACGGAUCUCUUGGCUCUCGCAUCGAUGAAGAACGCAGCGAAAUGCGAUAAGUAAUGUGAAUUGCAGAAUUCAGUGAAUCAUCGAAUCUUUGAACGCACCUUGCGCUCCUUGGUAUUCCGAGGAGCAUGCCUGUUUGAGUGUCAUUAAAUUCUCAACCUUAUUAACUUUUGUUGAUAAUGGAUUGGAUUGUGGGGGUUUCUUUUGCUGGAUUCUUCACAGAGAUCAGCUCCCCUUAAAUGCAUUAGCUGGUGCCCCGCGUGGACCAUCUAUUGGUGUGAUAAUUAUCUACGCCGUGGAUGUCUGCAAUCAUAUGGGUUUCGCACUGCUUCUAACCGUCUGUUCAUUCGGACAAUACAUGACAAUUUGACCUCAAAUCAGGUAGGACUACCCGCUGAACUUAAGCAUAUCAAUAAGCGGAGGAAAAGAAACUAACAAGGAUUCCCCUAGUAACUGCGAGUGAAGCGGGAAAAGCUCAAAUUUAAAAUCUGGCGGUCUCCGGCCGUCC